GAUGGACGCUGGCGGCGUGCCUAAUACAUGCAAGUCGAGCGAACAGACGAGGAGCUUGCUCCUCUGACGUUAGCGGCGGACGGGUGAGUAACACGUGGAUAACCUACCUAUAAGACUGGGAUAACUUCGGGAAACCGGAGCUAAUACCGGAUAAUAUAUUGAACCGCAUGGUUCAAUAGUGAAAGACGGUUUUGCUGUCACUUAUAGAUGGAUCCGCGCCGCAUUAGCUAGUUGGUAAGGUAACGGCUUACCAAGGCAACGAUGCGUAGCCGACCUGACAGGGUGAUAGGCCACACGGGAGGUGAGACAGGGUCAAGACUCCUACGGGAGGCAGCAGUAGGGAAUGUUCCGCAAUGGGCGAAAGCCUGACGGAGCAGCGCCGCGUGAGUGAUGAAGGUCUUCGGAUCGUAAAACUCUGUUAUUAGGGAAAAACAAAUGUGUAAGUAACUAUGCACGUCUUGACGGUACCUAGUCAGAAAGCCCCGGCUAACUACGUG
RNAcentral lists this ribosomal RNA (497 nucleotides) under uncultured bacterium. RNAcentral's name for it is "partial 16S ribosomal RNA". It matches the Rfam family "Bacterial small subunit ribosomal RNA", at positions 28 to 507 of the family's 1533-position model. The record is from RNAcentral.